UGACCAGAAGGGAUCUGACUGCAACAUCUGCUACCACAUGGGUCUCUGGAGUCAAUUCUGCUGAUCUGGCUGGCUAAGUGGGUGUCCCUUCCUUCCCUCCUGGCUCCAUAUGUGUCCCUCUUGAAACCGCAUGCUCAUUUGAAGAAGGUAAACCUUUCUUCAGUUGGGCUCUCCUACUAGAAACAAGCUCUCAGUACAGUGUAUUGAUCCAGAUGUAAGAGAGCAAGAAACACACAGUGCUCUUGGUCAUGCUGU
This 255-nucleotide small RNA is filed under the name Mesocricetus auratus (golden hamster). RNAcentral describes it as "7SK RNA (ENSMAUG00000003505.1)". The stretch from base 6 to 187 matches the Rfam family "7SK RNA". From Rfam's summary of the family: 7SK was discovered as an abundant small nuclear RNA in the mid-70s but a possible function has only recently been suggested. Two independent studies have found that 7SK RNA binds the CDK9/cyclin T complex (known as elongation factor P-TEFb). P-TEFb activates transcription by phosphorylating the C-terminal domain of RNA polymerase II. Lineage: Eukaryota; Metazoa; Chordata; Mammalia; Rodentia; Cricetidae. The record is from RNAcentral.